AACGAACGCUGGCGGCAUGCCUAACACAUGCAAGUCGAACGAGACCUUCGGGUCUAGUUGCGCUCGGCGGCUUACGGCGUGGGAAGUUGCCCUUAGGUUCCGUAUAACUCCCCGAAAGGGAUGCUAAUACCGGAUAAGCUCUUCCGACCAAAGAUUUAUCGCCUUGGGAUGGGCCCGCGUUGGAUUAGCUAGUUGGUAGGGUAAAAGCCUACCAAGGCGACGAUCCAUAGCUGGUCUGAGAGGAUGAUCAGCCACACUGGGACUGAGACACGGCCCAGACUCCUACGGGAGGCAGCAGUGGGGAAUAUUGCACAAUGGGCGAAAGCCUGAUCCAGCAAUGCCGCGUGAGUGAUGAAGGCCUUAGGAUUGUAAAGUUCUUUUACCCGGGAUGAUAAUGACGGUACCGGGAGAAUAAGCUCCGGCUAACUACGUG
This 433-nucleotide ribosomal RNA is filed under the name uncultured bacterium. Its description in RNAcentral is "partial 16S ribosomal RNA". It matches the Rfam family "Bacterial small subunit ribosomal RNA", at positions 29 to 507 of the family's 1533-position model. The record is from RNAcentral.